AGAGUUUGAUCAUGGCUCAGAUUGAACGCUGGCGGCAGGCCUAACACAUGCAAGUCGAACGGUAACAGGAAGCAGCUUGCUGCUUUGCUGACGAGUGGCGGACGGGUGAGUAAUGUCUGGGAAACUGCCUGAUGGAGGGGGAUAACUACUGGAAACGGUGGCUAAUACCGCAUAACGUCGCAAGACCAAAGAGGGGGACCUUCGGGCCUCUUGCCAUCAGAUGUGCCCAGAUGGGAUUAGCUUGUUGGUGAGGUAACGGCUCACCAAGGCGACGAUCCCUAGCUGGUCUGAGAGGAUGACCAGCCACACUGGAACUGAGACACGGUCCAGACUCCUACGGGAGGCAGCAGUGGGGAAUAUUGCACAAUGGGCGCAAGCCUGAUGCAGCCAUGCCGCGUGUAUGAAGAAGGCCUUCGGGUUGUAAAGUACUUUCAGCGGGGAGGAAGGUGUUGUGGUUAAUAACCACAGCAAUUGACGUUACCCGCAGAAGAAGCACCGGCUAACUCCGUGCCAGCAGCCGCGGUAAUACGGAGGGUGCAAGCGUUAAUCGGAAUUACUGGGCGUAAAGCGCACGCAGGCGGUCUGUCAAGUCGGAUGUGAAAUCCCCGGGCUCAACCUGGGAACUGCAUUCGAAACUGGCAGGCUUGAGUCUUGUAGAGGGGGGUAGAAUUCCAGGUGUAGCGGUGAAAUGCGUAGAGAUCUGGAGGAAUACCGGUGGCGAAGGCGGCCCCCUGGACAAAGACUGACGCUCAGGUGCGAAAGCGUGGGGAGCAAACAGGAUUAGAUACCCUGGUAGUCCACGCCGUAAACGAUGUCUACUUGGAGGUUGUGCCCUUGAGGCGUGGCUUCCGGAGCUAACGCGUUAAGUAGACCGCCUGGGGAGUACGGCCGCAAGGUUAAAACUCAAAUGAAUUGACGGGGGCCCGCACAAGCGGUGGAGCAUGUGGUUUAAUUCGAUGCAACGCGAAGAACCUUACCUGGUCUUGACAUCCACAGAAGUUUCCAGAGAUGGACUGUGCCUUCGGGAACCGUGAGACAGGUGCUGCAUGGCUGUCGUCAGCUCGUGUUGUGAAAUGUUGGGUUAAGUCCCGCAACGAGCGCAACCCUUAUCCUUUGUUGCCAGCGAUUAGGUCGGGAACUCAAAGGAGACUGCCAGUGAUAAACUGGAGGAAGGUGGGGAUGACGUCAAGUCAUCAUGGCCCUUACGACCAGGGCUACACACGUGCUACAAUGGCGCAUACAAAGAGAAGCGACCUCGCGAGAGCAAGCGGACCUCAUAAAGUGCGUCGUAGUCCGGAUUGGAGUCUGCAACUCGACUCCAUGAAGUCGGAAUCGCUAGUAAUCGUGGAUCAGAAUGCCACGGUGAAUACGUUCCCGGGCCUUGUACACACCGCCCGUCACACCAUGGGAGUGGGUUGCAAAAGAAGUAGGUAGCUUAACCUUCGGGAGGGCGCUUACCACUUUGUGAUUCAUGACUGGGGUGAAGUCGUAACAAGGUAACCGUAGGGGAACCUGCGGUUG
This 1521-nucleotide ribosomal RNA is filed under the name Salmonella enterica subsp. enterica serovar Derby. RNAcentral's name for it is "bacterial SSU rRNA". It matches the Rfam family "Bacterial small subunit ribosomal RNA". The record is from RNAcentral. Lineage: Bacteria; Pseudomonadati; Pseudomonadota; Gammaproteobacteria; Enterobacterales; Enterobacteriaceae.